RNAcentral lists this long non-coding RNA (3398 nucleotides) under Mus musculus (house mouse). RNAcentral's name for it is "long non-coding RNA chr17:53689467-53692865". Lineage: Eukaryota; Metazoa; Chordata; Mammalia; Rodentia; Muridae. The record is from RNAcentral.
GGCUCGGCGUCCGCCUUCCCACAGCCUAGAGAUCUAGCGACUUUGAGACUGGGUCUUGUCUGGGUGCGUCCCUGACUUCCGGUUAGACCUGGGGUGUUGACGCAGGCCUGAGAGCCCAGCUCUCAGAAGGCUGAGGCAGGAGAAUGACGAGUUCGAGUUGAAGCCUGAGUUGGAGCACGAAAGAUCCAAACAGAUCCUGGCGUGGCUUGUCAGGGCGCCCAAGGCCGCGCAGCUCUUGUGCUCCGGGGCGCGCCCGUGUGGCAAACGUCCAUCCAGCACGUUUAGCGCAGGCUCAGCGAAAGGACUGAUGUGAGAGACUGGGCUCUCCAGGUUCAGCCCGCUGGCGAGAUCUGCGGGUGGGCCUGGCUGAUUCAAGAAGAAACGCCAAGUGACAGCCCGAUCCUGUCCUGUGCAUUUACGGAAGAGAUUUACAACCGGCUGCGCUCACCUCAGAAGUCAUUGUAGUGCAGCAGCCGUGACUGAAUUAGAAGGUCAUCUUGUGGGAUCCGUUUUUUAAAGUGCUUUCCCGGGAACAAUCUAAACUUCUUUAUCAGUUCCUGAUAAUAGUCAAGGAAUUGGGUUUAGUCAUGCUGAGAAAAGUUCGGCACGCUUACACAUCAGGCAGCGUUACUGGGUAGUUCUGAAGGCACACAAAGAAAAUGGGAAGGGGAAGGUGGCAGCAGGGAGCCCUACCACAAGACAUUUGGAGCCUCCACAGUUGAGUGAUUGCUUCAUAAGUCAUAUCCUUGGCAGAUGUCUUGUGCCAUAAGGUAGAUAGAUAUACGUAGCCAAUAUAACAAGUUAUAUUUUACUAUGCUGGUCAUCACACAAGGUUCACACUCUUAAUUUCUUACCUAGGGUCCUAAGAUUAUCGUUCCACGGCUGCUCAUUUAUGGCUCUCUUCUUUGUUUUCUGUUUGUUUUUGUUUUUGAGACAGGGUCUUCUUGUAGCCCAGGAUGACCUCUAACUCCUUACGCUGUAGAGAAGUCUCUCUGUGUACCUUUGACUGUCUUGGAACUCACUAUAUAUUUGAGGUUGGCCUCAAAUGCAAACAGAUCCACCUGCUUCUGUCUCUUGAAUGCUAGAUUAAAUGUGUGUACCACCAUGUCCAUCUCCUAAAAAAGUUUGGUUUUGGUCUGUUUAUUUGGCAUUCAAAAAACAAAACAAAGCAAAACAAAACAACGGGUUAAGGCAGGUUUUUUACACAGCCUAAGCAGACUUCAAAUUCGUGAUAUUUCUGCGAUGACCAGGAACACACAGAGAUAUGCUAGUCUUGGCCUCCCAAGUGCUGACAUUAAAAAAAAUUUUUUAAAAAAGAUUCCUUUGGAAAUGUGGAUAUGAUCCAGAUAUCAAAAGCUUUUGCUGCUCUUGCAGAGGACCUGAGUUCAGUUCUGAGCACCCAUGUCAGGCAGCUCACAACCACCUCUGACUUCAGCUCCAGAUUUGAUGCCCUCUUCAUGGGCACCUGUGUACAGCAUGUGGCAUACGUGAUCAAAGAGAACACAUACAUAUAUACAAAAAUAAGAAUUAAAAAACCCUUUGAAAGAUUCUUUAAUACUUACCAUGUCAUGUGCUGUGUAUUAAUUUGAAUAGCAUACAAAUGUUAGAAACUUGGUGACCAAAAGUUUUAAGGAAUUUGUCAGAACCAAAAUGCAGCAAACUAUCACAUCAUUUUGGUACCCACUUAUAUUGGCUUAGUCUUUUCCUUUGUUGAGCAGUCCCAAGCUGUGGAGAACCUAUAUAAGUGUACAGUAGACAGACAGGCUGGGGAAAGUCCUACUUUUUAGAUUGCUUGUAGCUUUCAUCUGCAUGUUUUAGAAAUGUAUCUUAACCACUUGAAAUAACUUAUUAAACCUCAGAAUCCUUGCUGUAUACUUCUAUUUUAGAGGGUUGAAUUUCUCAGCCUAGUGCCAAGAAUGUAAGUAUUUAAUUGAAUUUACUGCCUGUGGCAGUUUGGAUAUGCUUGGGCUAUGGGAAAUGGCACUAUGAGGAGGCCUUGUUGGAGGGAGUGUGUCACUCUUUAGGCAGGCUUUGAGGGCUCCCAGGCUUAAUUGAAUGCUGCUGAAACAGUCUCUUUCUUUCUGUCUUCAGAUCAAAAUGUAGACCUCUCAUCUCCUCCUAAACCAUGUCUAUCUGCAGGCUGCCAUGCUUCCUGCCAUGAUGAUAAUGAACUGAACCCCUGAAACUGUAAGCCAGCUCCAAUUAAAUGCUGUCCUUUAUAAGAGUUGCCUUGGUCAUGGUGUCUCUUCACCAUAGAAACCCUAACUAAGAUGCUGGCCGUGCUGGCGUUUUGUUUGUUUGUUUUUGAGACAGCGUCUCAUUAUGUAGCUUUGGCUGGCUUGGACAUAGGUAUGUGGAUCAGACUGACCUAGAACUCAUACAACCUACUGUCUUUGCCUCCUAAGUGUGUGUUUAAGGUAUGAGCCACUACACUGCAUUCCUAUUUUGGCAUAUUAAAUCUCCCCUGUAGGCUCAUGGGUUUGAACACUUUAUCUCUACAUGGUAACGCUGUUUCGGGUGGUUGUAAAACCUUAGGCUAUGAGACACAGCUGGAGGAGGUGGGAGGGUUGGGGAUGACUGCUUUGGGCCUAGGCUCUCUCUGCUCUGCUCAGUGGCAUGUACAAGCAUUUACUGCACACUCCCACUGCCACACAUCUAGUCUGUCAUCCUGCCUUUCCUGCCAUGAUGGACUUACAACUCCUGAACCAUCUCUCCUCCCUUAAGUUGCUUCUGUCAUGUAUUUCAUCACAGCAACAUAAACACAUGUAACGUAAGCGCAUGCUCUGCUCUGUGCCAGGGCGUUCUAUGUAUUGCUUUAUUUAUUUUUUAUCUUUUUUUUUUUUCCAGAGCUGAGGACCGAACCCAGGGCCUUGCGCUUGCUAGGCAAGUGCUCUACCUCUGAGCUAAAUCCCCAACCCCUUAUUUAUUUUUUUAAAUCAUAAUAAGUCUAUGGUGUUUAUUGUUAAAAACUGUGUACUUACUCAACAUGAUAUAGAGAUAUUCAUACACAAAUAGGUGUAUUUGUGUGUUUCUUUAACUUGGAUGAGUGUUUGCUUGCAUGUGUGCAUGCACAUUAUGUCUACUACCUGUGGAGUCAGGAGAAAACAGCAACCUCUGGGAACUGGACUUACAGAUGUGGGUGCUAGAAAACUGAACUGAAGUUCUUUGCAAGACAACAAGUGCUCUUUACUGCUGAUCCUUCACUCUAGACUCAGUAGAUUUUUUUAAAAUUUGGUAUAUAUAUAUUUUUUUUUUUCCCGGAGAGAUAGGGACAGAUAUACAGAUAGACAGAGACAGAGAUAGGAGUUGGGAGGAUGAAGAUGUAGGGAGGGUCUGGGAGGACUUGGGGGAGAGGAAACCAUGAUUAGAUUAUGUUGGAUGAAAAAAUUGUUUUAAUG